GAGACCCACGCCCACAGUUGCCAGCGUACUCUCCGGAGUGACGGGUACACUGUGGGGACCGCCUCUGCUAAAGAGGAGGAAGGAAUGGGCAACGGUAGGUCAGCAUGCCCCGAAUUAUCCGGGCUACACGCGGGCUACAAUGGUCAGGACAAUGGGUAUCGACACCGAGAGGUGAAGGCAAUCUCUUAAACCUGUCCUUAGUUCGGAUUGUGGGCUGCAACUCACCCACAUGAAGCUGGAAUCCGUAGUAAUCGCGUCUCAAAAUGGCGCGGUGAAUAU
This 279-nucleotide ribosomal RNA is filed under the name uncultured archaeon. Its description in RNAcentral is "partial 16S rRNA". It matches the Rfam family "Archaeal small subunit ribosomal RNA", at positions 1047 to 1325 of the family's 1478-position model. The record is from RNAcentral.